RNAcentral lists this ribosomal RNA (301 nucleotides) under uncultured bacterium. RNAcentral describes it as "partial 16S ribosomal RNA". It matches the Rfam family "Bacterial small subunit ribosomal RNA", at positions 509 to 807 of the family's 1533-position model. The record is from RNAcentral.
CAGUAGCCGCGGUAAUACGGAGGGGGCUAGCGUUGUUCGGAAUUACUGGGCGUAAAGCGCACGUAGGCGGCUUUACAAGUCAGAGGUGAAAGCCUGGUGCUCAACACCAGAAUUGCCUUCGAGACUGUAUCGCUUGAACGUCGGAGAGGUGAGUGGAAUUUCCGGUGUAGCGGUGAAAUGCGUAGAUAUCGGAAGGAACACCUGUGGCGAAAGCGGCUCACUGGACCAUAACUGACGCUGAUGCACGAAAGCUAGGGGAGCAAACAGGAUUAGAUACCCCUGUAGUCCCUGUCUCUUAUAC